UACAGAGGGGGGCAAGCGUUGUUCGGAAUUACUGGGCGUAAAGGGCGCGUAGGCGGCCCUGUUAAGUCGAACGUGAAAUCCCUGGGCUCAACCCAGGAACUGCGUCCGAUACUGGCAGGCUUGAAUUCGGGAGAGGCAAGGGGAAUUCCACGUGUAGCGGUGAAAUGCGUAGAGAUGUGGAGGAACACCCUGUGGCGAAGGCGCCUUGCUGGCCA
This 215-nucleotide ribosomal RNA is filed under the name uncultured bacterium. RNAcentral's name for it is "partial 16S ribosomal RNA". It matches the Rfam family "Bacterial small subunit ribosomal RNA", at positions 524 to 735 of the family's 1533-position model. The record is from RNAcentral.